AUACUCCAAAAUUCUCUUCCAUGAAAAUUUUCCAUCGUAAUUUGCACACUCCUGUACUCCCUUCUGCAAGUAAUAAAUAGCCGGUUGAAAUCUUGCAAGAAAUCAUGGGUCAUGUAGUAUAAGCCACAUGCUUGGUCCAUUCAACAACACG
This is a long non-coding RNA of Hibiscus syriacus, 151 nucleotides long. RefSeq lists it as uncharacterized. The transcript has 3 exons. The record is from RefSeq and is a predicted model, not a curated record. Lineage: Eukaryota; Viridiplantae; Streptophyta; Magnoliopsida; Malvales; Malvaceae.